GCUUUUGAAUCUGUUCAGCACUUCCAUCCUAAAGCAUCAAACUUACAGAUCACCUCAAAGCCUUUUGGAAAUGUCAUCCUAUCUGACCCAUGAGCCCAAGAAUUAUCAAGACAAGGGGAAAAAACUGUUCUCUCUCAAUUAUGAUAGAAAUGCCUAGAGUCUGGGAUCCAUAAUGAUUAUGGACAAAUCCUGCAUGCUGUUGGAAUGUUUGAUUGUCCAGGUGGAUGACAGUUCCUCCAUUCUUGGAAAAGAGGCUAGAAUGUUUACUAACCACUGGCAAGACUUAGAUGCUUCUGUCGAAGACAUCAUCAUAAACAGAGUAUUAGGUAAGAUUUCUGGAUUAAAUCUAGUAACACAGCCAGUGUCACCCAGCACUGAAUUAAUCACUACUCUCUCCAAUGAUAGGUUGUAUCAUUGAAUUGCCUUGAAUGGUGGCAAGGGCACCUCAACCUGAAACACUGCUAGACACAGUCAAAUGUAGCUGCUGAACUGUAC
Molecule: long non-coding RNA, 495 nt
Organism: Hemicordylus capensis (graceful crag lizard)
Lineage: Eukaryota; Metazoa; Chordata; Lepidosauria; Squamata; Cordylidae
Exons: 3
Source: RefSeq, a predicted model, not a curated record